Molecule: ribosomal RNA, 513 nt
Filed under: uncultured bacterium
Lineage: Bacteria
Description: bacterial SSU rRNA
Rfam family: Bacterial small subunit ribosomal RNA
Source: RNAcentral
CUAGAGAUAGAGCUUUCCCCUUCGGGGGACAAAGUGACAGGUGGUGCAUGGUUGUCGUCAGCUCGUGUCGUGAGAUGUUGGGUUAAGUCCCGCAACGAGCGCAACCCUUAAGCUUAGUUGCCAUCAUUAAGUUGGGCACUCUAGGUUGACUGCCGGUGACAAACCGGAGGAAGGUGGGGAUGACGUCAAAUCAUCAUGCCCCUUAUGAUUUGGGCUACACACGUGCUACAAUGGACAAUACAAAGGGCAGCUAAACCGCGAGGUCAUGCAAAUCCCAUAAAGUUGUUCUCAGUUCGGAUUGUAGUCUGCAACUCGACUACAUGAAGCUGGAAUCGCUAGUAAUCGUAGAUCAGCAUGCUACGGUGAAUACGUUCCCGGGUCUUGUACACACCGCCCGUCACACCACGAGAGUUUGUAACACCCGAAGCCGGUGGAGUAACCAUUUAUGGAGCUAGCCGCCGAAGGUGGGACAAAUGAUUGGGGUGAAGUCGUAACAAGGUAGCCGUAUCGGAA